This 231-nucleotide ribosomal RNA is filed under the name uncultured bacterium. Its description in RNAcentral is "partial 16S ribosomal RNA". It matches the Rfam family "Bacterial small subunit ribosomal RNA", at positions 976 to 1224 of the family's 1533-position model. The record is from RNAcentral.
UAGACUUGCAUGGUAGUGAACGAGGGUGAAAGCCUGAGGUUCGCAAGACACUACCACUGGUGCUGCAUGGCUGUCGUCAGCUCGUGUCGUGAGAUGUUAGGUUAAGUCCUGUAACGAGCGCAACCCCCGGAAGUAGUUACACGUAGUCUACUUCAACUGCCUGCGCAAGUGGGAGGAAGGUGGGGAUGACGUCAAGUCAGCAUGGCCUGUAUGUCUAGGGCUACACACACG